GACGAACGCUGGCGGCGUGCCUAAUACAUGCAAGUCGAACGAACUCUGGUAUUGAUUGGUGCUUGCAUCAUGAUUUACAUUUGAGUGAGUGGCGAACUGGUGAGUAACACGUGGGAAACCUGCCCAGAAGNGGGGGAUAACACCUGGAAACAGAUGCUAAUACCGCAUAACAACUUGGACCGCAUGGUCCGAGNUUGAAAGAUGGCUUCGGCUAUCACUUUUGGAUGGUCCCGCGGCGUAUUAGCUAGAUGGUGNGGUAACGGCUCACCAUGGCAAUGAUACGUAGCCGACCUGAGAGGGUAAUCGGCCACAUUGGGACUGAGACACGGCCCAAACUCCUACGGGAGGCAGCAGUAGGGAAUCUUCCACAAUGGACGAAAGUCUGAUGGAGCAACGCCGCGUGAGUGAAGAAGGGUUUCGGCUCGUAAAACUCUGUUGUUAAAGAAGAACAUAUCUGAGAGUAACUGUUCAGGUAUUGACGGUAUUUAACCAGAAAGCCACGGCUAACUACGUGCCAGCAGCCGCGGUAAUACGUAGGUGGCAAGCGUUGUCCGGAUUUAUUGGGCGUAAAGCGAGCGCAGGCGGUUUUUUAAGUCUGAUGUGAAAGCCUUCGGCUCAACCGAAGAAGUGCAUCGGAAACUGGGAAACUUGAGUGCAGAAGAGGACAGUGGAACUCCAUGUGUAGCGGUGAAAUGCGUAGAUAUAUGGAAGAACACCAGUGGCGAAGGCGGCUGUCUGGUCUGUAACUGACGCUGAGGCUCGAAAGUAUGGGUAGCAAACAGGAUUAGAUACCCUGGUAGUCCAUACCGUAAACGAUGAAUGCUAAGUGUUGGAGGGUUUCCGCCCUUCAGUGCUGCAGCUAACGCAUUAAGCAUUCCGCCUGGGGAGUACGGCCGCAAGGCUGAAACUCAAAGGAAUUGACGGGGGCCCGCACAAGCGGUGGAGCAUGUGGUUUAAUUCGAAGCUACGCGAAGAACCUUACCAGGUCUUGACAUACUAUGCAAAUCUAAGAGAUUAGACGUUCCCUUCGGGGACAUGGAUACAGGUGGUGCAUGGUUGUCGUCAGCUCGUGUCGUGAGAUGUUGGGUUAAGUCCCGCAACGAGCGCAACCCUUAUUAUCAGUUGCCAGCAUUAAGUUGGGCACUCUGGUGAGACUGCCGGUGACAAACCGGAGGAAGGUGGGGAUGACGUCAAAUCAUCAUGCCCCUUAUGACCUGGGCUACACACGUGCUACAAUGGAUGGUACAACGAGUUGCGAACUCGCGAGAGUAAGCUAAUCUCUUAAAGCCAUUCUCAGUUCGGAUUGUAGGCUGCAACUCGCCUACAUGAAGUCGGAAUCGCUAGUAAUCGCGGAUCAGCAUGCCGCGGUGAAUACGUUCCCGGGCCUUGUACACACCGCCCGUCACACCAUGAGAGUUUGUAACACCCAAAGUCGGUNGGGUAACCUUUUAGGAACCAGCCGCCUAAGGUGGGACAGAUGAUUAGGGUGAAG
This 1492-nucleotide ribosomal RNA is filed under the name Lactobacillus sp. NBRC 107214. RNAcentral describes it as "bacterial SSU rRNA". It matches the Rfam family "Bacterial small subunit ribosomal RNA". Lineage: Bacteria; Bacillati; Bacillota; Bacilli; Lactobacillales; Lactobacillaceae. The record is from RNAcentral.